This 41301-nucleotide long non-coding RNA is filed under the name Citrus x clementina. RNAcentral's name for it is "Citrus clementina (C. clementina) long non-coding RNA (CCLE_LNC002865)". The record is from RNAcentral. Lineage: Eukaryota; Viridiplantae; Streptophyta; Magnoliopsida; Sapindales; Rutaceae.
CCAUUCUACUUCGAUAUUCACAUUGUUAUCUCCUUCAUAUUAGCGAUCAGUAAACACGAUAAUGUGACUAAUAAGUUCGUAUUCUCUUUAUAGGCAAUCCCUGCUGCCUCAAGACUUGAAACAAAACAAAUUGGAGGGCGAGUCAGAGGUCCAUCUCCAUUAAUCCAUCAAUGGAUAGAAUUCUGCUUGCAAACAGCGAGAGCAUUGCCUUUCAAGCAAGAGGUUAUCCUGGGUGCAUCUCCCUCUACCCUUGAAAGUACUCUGGUUAAGUUGCCUGAAGAACUUCUGGAGGGUAAACCAAGUCUGGAUACUAACUUAAUUGCUGGAGUACUCCCGGAUGAAAUUCUGGCCAGAUGUGAGUUUUUGGAGCCAUUAUCUGAAGCUACUUUGUCAGAUUAUGAGUGGCUGGUUGUUAAUCUGCAAAAACCUGCUCCUGUCUUGAUGAAAAGGGUGCAACAUUACUUGUCAUCAUUAAUCCAAAGCUUUCUAGCAAGAGCUACAUUGAAAAGUUAAUGGCUAUAAUGCUGUCAGGGCAAUUGGGUCAGGGCAAUUAGGUCUGAGCAUAACUUCAUUAGGAAAAGAGGCUUCAGCUACGUUAAAUAUUACAGGAUGUACUGAGAUGGCUGAAGUUCUUGAGGUUUUAUGAGAAAGAUGAGUGUUUGUUUGAACAAAGUUGUUGCCAAUCUUGCAGAGUUCGAAAACAAAGAUCACGGAGCGAAUGCCACCAAUUUCUUCAUCAUUUUAGCCUCCAUAGCUGAAGUUUCCUCAUUUGAAGCUGUUUAUGCAUAUGCUUUUUCCCUUCUCAAGUACAGGAAAUUGAAGAAUUAACCAGAUGUGAUAUGCUGAAAGAGGGAAGUUUUCUUCCUUGAAUGUGGCCUUUGUGAUUUGUCUUGAUGGAAUAGGGUGAUCACUGGCGAGAACCCAAUCAAGGUAGAUUUUAUGAUGUUAACAUAUUAUUAAGCAUUUUGUUGCAUCAGCAAUGAUGCUUUCAUAGAAUGAAAGUGUUUAAAUUUAACUGAAUGAUCUUGAUUGAUCAAUUAUGAGUUUUAAUCGAGUAAAAACUAAAUACAAUGAUCGUUAACAAAUAUUGAAAUUGGGUAAAUAUGAUCUUGAUAUUGAAGAAUUUGAAAUCACAACCCACACAGGAAAUCACCCUUCGCGUGGGGAUGGUGAUGUUUACUGCAGCGAUAUUGAAUAUGUCCGCUGCUCUUUGGGUUAUGGUGCGACUUGCGAUUUCAAGGUUGCCAUGAAACAAUGGAAAAGAUUAACAUGCCCUCCAAUGAAUGAAACUAUUAUGUUAUUAACAAUGCACAGUCCGAGUACUUUUCCAGGAUCAGAUACGAGGUGGUCUAAUGUUGAUAAUAAUAGAUUAUCAAAUGACAAAUCGUUGUUCUUGGGUGGUGAUUUCAGAAAUAAAAUACAUUCUGAGAGAUGCUGGUUUACUAUUGCAAGCCCCCAGAUUUAAGAAUCUUUUGAUGAUAAUUUAUCACCUGCAGCUGUGCCGGAAGAUUCAAGUAGCACUGAAAAAGAUGAUAAUUUAAUUGAUAUGGACAGUUUCCAUAUCACUUUUAAAUCAUCUUAUGUAAUUGUAAUGUUAGGAAGCAUUAGUGAUCUAAAAGUGAACUAUUCUUGGUGUCAUUGGUGGUUUUAUCUUGUUAAAAUAUGGAUGACUUCCUGUUACUAUUUUAUUAUAGACAAUCUUAUUCAAUUAACAUAUGGUUUAAAACCAUUAUGUUUUAUGUAAAUCAAUCUAUUAAUUUUCAUGAUACUUAACUGAGUUAAAACCAAGUGCACUCAAUAAAUGUCUUUUCCUUUAAAAAACUGCUACGCUUUGAUUUUAGUGCUUAAUAUUUCGUAACUACAGAUUAUCUAAUUGCGAGUUGCUGUCCAUAGCUACUAAUUUGUAGUGAUUAUCUAAUUGACGGAGGUGACAAUAAUUCUUUUAUUUUCAAUAGCACAACGUGGAAUUCAAUAAUUAAAUUCUCCUGUUUAAUUUGUUUUAAGUUAAAUUAUUAAUUACUUAAACUCAGUUUUAAGUCUUUAAUUUUCUGUGUUUAUGCAGAAUUGGAUUCUUGAGCGUGUUGGACAUGACCAACAAUGAAAUUGACGUAAACAAACAUUACAAUGUGUGGACUCCGGUAGCUACCCCGCAAGUCUACAACUUUACAAAUAAUAAUUGAGUAAGCACCUUUGAUUUCUAGCCCCGUUGACUCCACCGACUAAAGUUUUGUAAAAUAAAAAAAAAAUACAUAGAAUUCCACCAAAUGCAAAACGCGUGGAAUUUAAUUUUCGGCCGUGUGGAUCAAAACAUAAUUUAAUGAAAAAGGAAAAAAAUGAUAAGAUUUUUAAAAUGUGUGGAAGGUGAUUCAUAUUUUACUGAAACAACUUGUUAAAUUUUUCAAGGAUUUAAAAUAUUUGGUCAUAAAUUACGUGCAUGUUAAUUUUUCUGCCAUUGACUAUCAUAUUCUAGACUUAAUGGUACCUUUCUUGAUGAAGGGUACUUAAUCUCUCUUCUCCUCUUAUAAAAAUUAUAUUAAUUGAUUUCUUAUUAUAGUUAAUAGUCUUCAAGAACGGAUAGAUUUAUUGUUUUCAUGACCAAAUUAUGCAUGCCUAACGUUGCAAAUAUUAAUAAAAUUAAUAAUUAAUGUUUAUGUUAAAAUAUAUAAGAUUUUAUGCAUUCAUUAAUUGUUAUUAGCUAAAGGAUGAAUUAUUUUUUCCCAAUCAGUUGAUGCAUCUGCAAGAGUUUUUUUUUUCUUUUAUUGACCAUAAUUAUAUUCCGGGUACAAUAAAUUGUCUUUGGUGCUUGGAAGAUAUGACAUCUCUCUGUCAACUUACUGGAAAUAUCUCCUCAUCUACUCUCAUUUAUCUAAUAUCAAUUGAAGAUCUCAUAUUUCCAAACUAUGACUUCCAAAUCUCAUUAUCAUUUGAGCAUUCAAAACUAAUCAAGUGUGGAAAUAAUCAAAUAUAUGCAAAAAUCGAGUCACAAUCUUUGGCCCCUCAAAAUUCUAAUUAUAUAACUUCAUAUCUCAUACAUUUUCCAAAUUCCUCUUCCAUCAACAUCACUAGGAGUAUGUUCAUCUCUCACACAUUAACUUGAGUGGAGAGUUUCCAAAUUGAUUGUCAGAAAACAAUACAAAAGCUAGACAAACUUGAUCUGUCUACUAAUUAUCUUUCGGUAAAAUUAAUUAAUUUUAGGGUAAUAUUCAGCCAACCUCUGUAAUUUUAGAGUGAUCAUUAAUUAAUUAAUUAAACGAUACAAUAUCUAAAGUGAUUAGAUGUUUGUGGACAAUACAAGUUCAUGGCUUGAAAUUUGAUCUCUAUCGAUUGGUUUACAGAUUGACGUACUUGUGCUUUUGUGGUGAUAAUUGAACCAGAGAUGUGAAGCUGUAAGGAUUUGGCAGUAGUAAAUUGUUAUAAAGGCAUAAAGACAACUAUUUUACAACAAAUUCAUCUCGCCAAAAAUUCUAUUUUGCUAACUAACAAUAAUUGAGCACUUGACCGCAUUGACUCCACGUCUCCAGCUACUUUCUAAGUAAAAACAUGGAAAUGUAAUCUCCACAAAAUGCCAAACGUGUGGAAUUUAAUUUUUGGCCUUGUGGACCAAAAUGCAAAUGAAAGAAAAAGAAGGAAAAAAACAAGGCCCAAAGACUUCUAAAAGAUGUAAAAGUCUUUGGGUUUUUUUAUAAUGGUGGAUUUUUUAAAAGAAAAAAAUAACAACAGUUCUAUGGUUUGUUUUGAUAAUCACAUUUACAUAUACUCUCUAAUUUUCAAAAUGGACACAUAAAUCUUUUUUUUUCUACAAAUGUAUAUUAUUCGUAUUGUUUAUUAUUUUUAAUAUCAUAUUGUUAUUUAUUAUAAAUGUUUAAAGUAAAUUUUUAGGUUGAAAUAUAAUAAACGGGUAUAAUCGUUCUCUUAUUAAACACCCAUACUUUUAGUUUCUAUCCAUUUGUCAUCUCAAUCUCUCUCAAUUAUUCUUUAUUGCUAGCUCAAAACGCAUUGCUGUUGCAAAUUAUAGCAAAAAGACAAAUAUGGAAAAGAAAAAAGGGUAGAAAAUUAAUGCAUGAAAGACUUGGAGAAAACAAUGAACUAAGUCAACUAUAAUCUAGCUGGGUGUAUAAAUUGUUUGAUGCUUUAUAAGCAAAUAACAUACAGAGACAGACAAUGUGUGUUCGUUUUUUCAUAGUUAAAGAUAUAGUUAGAAUGGGUGGUUCAAAAUCAAAAAUGGUGAUAAUGUUUGUUAUGUUAUUAAUAAUAUUUAAAAGUGGGUGGACUGAGGGAUGUUUGGAUCACGAGAGAUUUGCUCUUUUGCGACUCAAACAUUUCUUCAAUGAUCCUCAUAAUUCUCUUUACGACUGGGCCGAUGAUGAGGGAGCUAUUGAUUGUUGUCAGUGGGAAAGGGUUGAGUGCAGCAACACCACAGGCCGAGUGAUAGCGCUAGACCUUUUUGAAAUGUAUUCGGGAGAGUACAGCUGGUAUCUGAAUGCUUCUUUGUUUACUCCCUUCCAACAACUUGAGUCACUUGAUUUAACUUACAACAAUAUAGCCGGUUGUGUUGAGAAUGAAGGUGCUUCGUUUAAUUUAAUUAAUUUACUUUCUCCCCCCUAAUUUAAGUUGAAUAUCAAGACCGAGCAAUUAUAUGCAUAUUCAUUCAGUUGACAAUUUUGACUUAUUUUUUUUAAAUGAUUAAUUUUGAAAUUACACCAGUAUCUAUCAUCUUUUUUUUUAUUAUUAUUGCAGGUAUAGAGAGGCUAUCAAGAUUGAACAACUUGAAGAUGCUUAAUUUAAGUGAAAACUCAUUCAAUAAUACCAUUUUAUCAUCUCUAACUCAUCUUUCAUCAUUAAGAUCAUUAAAUUUAUAUGGGAAUAGUUUGGAAGGAAGUAUUGACGUUGAAGGUACAUAAUUAAAACUUCAUCCCUUCUCCAACCUCUUUCAUUAACUUGCUAAAAUAAGAUUCAAGGCUUUGAAUUCAAUUUUUUUAUGAUUAAUAUUAAAAAAACAGUUUUAAGCAAUUUAUAAAUACAAGUUUUAAUGUUUCUUGUAAUUUCAUCUUGUACUUUCAUAUGUCUUGAAUUUAAGAUUAAAAAAAAACUCUAAUAGCGAACCAAACACCUCCACAACUUCUUAUUAUUUGUGGUGAGGUUUGAAACAUUCAACUCAAUUUGUACUUAUUACAGAAUUUGAUUCUUUGAGAGAUUUAGAGGAGCUAGACAUUGGCGGGAACAAGAUUGACAAAUUUGUGGUCUCAAAAGGUACUACAAAUACCAUAAAAAAAAUAUGCUAACUUUUACAAAUUAGUUAGAUUCUUUGCCAUUUGGUUUAUUAUUUUACAGGUUUGAGUAAGUUGAAGUCUCUCGGUUUAAGUGGUAUCAAACUCAAUCGUAGCAUCUUAUCUUCUCUUUCUUCGUUAAGAGAAUUAGAUAUAAGUCGUACGGGAUUCAAAGGAACAUUUGAUGUUCGAGGUAAGCCUAAACCUUGCUUUCUCAUUUUAUAUAUGCCAACUAGAUUUGUGUAUCAUCGACAUAAUUUAAUAUUUAAUUUGAUAAGUCUGAAUGAAUUACAUGCUAAUUUAAACAUACUUUUAUUUACUCUAUCAAUCAAUUAAUUAAUUAAUUACUAUUUGGCUUGGUUUGGACGAAAUUCUCAUGAUGUUUUAAUUUCUUUAAAUUAAUUAAUUAAUUAACUCUGUUUUUAAGUCUUAAGUCUGGGCGUGUUUGCAGAAUUUGAUUCAUUCAACGACUUAGAAGUGUUGGACAUGAGCUACAAUGAAAUCGACAAUCUUGUGGUUCCUCAAGGUAAACAAUUAAAAUGUUAUUCAAUUACAUUAUUUUAAUUCAUUUGAUUAGGGAAGGCCAAAAAGGUCCAAAAAAAUAAUAAUAAUAAAGAAACAUAUAAUUUGUAUUAUUUAAAAAACAGAAUGUAAUAAAGAUUUGAUUCCAGUUCUUCAAUCUUUAAAGCGAUUGAAAAACAAUGUUGCUCUUUUCCCAAAGCAUAAAAUACGAAUUGAAUGCCAAUUAACUUAAUCAUUCAUUUCGUUUAGCUCUAAAUUUAGACAAUGAAUUUUUAUAUUAUUUCAAAAACAGGACGUAAUAGAAUUUAAAAAAAAAACAGAUUGUAAUGAAGAUUUGAUUCCAAUUUUUUAAUCUUUGCAGCGAUUGAAAAACCAUACCGCUCUUUUCCCAAAGCAUAAAAUACGAAUUGACUCCCAAUUAAAUUAAUCAUUUAUUUUGUUCAUCUCUGAAUUUAAAUAAUGAAUUUUGAUCUUCAAUCAUAUUCUAACUACUAUUAAAAAAAUAGGUUACAAAGGUUUGAGGAGGCUGAAAAGUCUUGAUCUAUCGGAAUUUGAAAUUAGAGAUGGAAGCAAGUUGUUACAGUCAAUGGGAUCAUUCCCAUCCCUCAACACACUUGUCCUGACGGAUAAUAAUUUUACCGAUAUAGCGACCGCUACUCAAGGUAAGUAAAAGGUACAGAUGUGGCCAAAUUUAUAAAUAAAUUGUUAAUUAAUUAAUUUUUCCGUAUUAUUAAUUAAGCUAAAUUUGUUGCUCCUUCCUUCUAAUUCUAAACAGAGUUGCACAAUUUCACCAACUUGGAAUAUUUGACAUUGGACGAAUCCUCUCUCCAUAUAAGCCUUCUGCAAAGCAUUGCAUCAUUAUUCCCUUCGUUAAAAACUCUGUCGAUGUUUGGUUGUGAAGUCAACGGUCUCGUACGCGGUCAAGGUAAAAGAAAAGCGUUGAUUGUGAACUCACUCAAUGGUGUCCUACGUGUUCAACAUUUUUGUUUAUUUAUUUAUUGUUUAAUGUUUCUGCUAGGUUUUCCCCAUUUCAAGAGUUUGGAACAUUUGGAUAUGGAUUACACGCGCAUUGCACUCAACACCAGCUUUCUUCAAAUCAUCGGUGAAUCGAUGCCUUCUCUUAAGUACUUAUCACUGUCAUAUUCUAAUCUUAGCACUAACAGCAGCAGGAUUCUUGAUCAAGGUUAAUGAGAUGCUGCCACCCUCCCCUCUUAAUCUGUAAUAUUAAUUUUCAAUUCAAUAUUUAAUUACACAAACCAAUCACUUCUAUAUAAAAGAAUACUAUGCUUUUGUUAAAUUUUUUUAUUGUACUGAUGGAUAAAUUAAUAAAUUUUCAGGCCUCUGUUCGUUGGUGCAUCUGCAAGUGUUGUACAUUUAUAAUAAUGAUCUGAGAGGCAGCUUGCCUUGGUGCUUGGCAAAUAUGACAUCCCUCCGAUUAUUAGAUGUUUCUUCCAAUCAACUUACUGGAAGCAUCUCCUCAUCUCCCCUCAUUCAUUUGACAUCCAUUGAAGAGCUGAUGCUUUCAAACAAUCACUUCCAGAUCCCAAUUUCACUUGAACCACUUUUCAAUCACUCAAGACUCAAGAUUUUCAAUGCUUAUAACAAUGAAAUAAAAGCUAAAAUAACUGAGUCACAUUCUUUGACCGCCCCAAACUUCCAAUUAUCACGUCUCUCAUUGUCUUCCAGUUACGGAGACGGUUUCAUAUUCCCCAAAUUCCUUUACCAUCAACAUGACCUGGAGUAUGUUGAUCUCUCACACAUAAAGAUGAAUGGAGAAUUUCCAACUUGGUUGUUGGAAAACAACACAAAAUUAGAAACUCUUUCUCUCGUCAAUGAUUCUCUUGGAGGACCUUUUCGGUUGCCAAUUCAUUCACACAAGCGGUUAGGAAUGUUGGAUAUAUCCAACAACAACUUCCGAGGCCACAUUCCAGUAGAAAUUGCAGAUGUUUUACCAAGUUUAUACGCUUUCAACAAUUCCAUGAAUGCUUUAGACGGUAGCAUUCCCUCUUCAUUUGGUAAUAUGAAAUUCCUCCAAUUUCUGGACUUAUCCAACAAUCACUUGACUGGUGAAAUUCCCGAGCACUUGGCCGUGGGUUGCGUCAACUUGAGGUUUCUUGCGUUAUCAAAUAACAACCUACAAGGUCACAUGUUCUCUAGAAAUUUUAACUUGACAAACUUGAAAUGGUUACAAUUGGAGGGCAAUCGCUUCGUAGGUGAGAUCCCACAAAGUUUGUCUAAAUGCUCCUCACUAGAAGGAUUGUAUCUUAACAAUAAUAGUCUUUCGGGUAAGAUUCCACGAUGGUUGGGUAAUCUCACAAGGUUACAAUGUAUUAUAAUGCCCAAUAAUCAUCUUGAAGGCCCUAUUCCAGUGGAGUUUUGUCAGCUUGAUUUGCUUCAGAUUUUGGACAUUUCAGACAACAACAUAUCUGGAAGUUUACCAUCUUGUUUCCAUCCUCUCUCUAUCAAACAAGUUCAUCUUUCAAAAAAUACGUUACAUGGACAACUAAAAAGAGGUACAUUCUUUAAUUGCUCUUCCCUUGUGACAUUAGAUCUUAGCUAUAACCGCUUGAAUGGCAGCAUUCCGGAUUAGGUUGAUGGGCUUUCUCAGUUAAGCCACCUUAUCUUAGGUCACAAUAAUCUUGAAGGUGAAGUGCCAAUUCAAUUGUGCGAAUUGAACCAACUACAAUUGUUAGAUCUUUCUAAUAAUAAUCUUCACGGUCCUAUUCCUUCUUGCUUUGAUAACACCACACUUCAUGAAAGUUACAGCAAUAGUUCUAGUCCUGAUGAGCAAUUUUAAAUAUCUUUUUUCAUCCAAGAAACUCAAGGAUAUGUAGAAAAGCAAAUCCAUGAAAUUUUUGAGUUCAUAUAUGUAGAAAAGCAAAUCCGUGAAAAAUUUGAGUUCACAACAAAGAACAUUGCGUACAUUUACCAAGGAAAAGUGCUUAGCCUCCUAUCAGGACUUGAUCUUUCUUGCAACAAGCUAAUCGGUCCUAUUCCUCUUCAAAUUGGAAAUUUGACAAGGAUUCAAACAUUGAAUCUAUCACACAACAACUUGACAGGAUCGAUCCCAUCAACAUUUUCAAACUUGAAGUAUGUCGAAAGUUUGGAUCUUUCCAACAACAAAUUGAAUGGGAAAAUCCCUCAUCAACUAGUGGAGUUAAAGACAUUGGAGGUUUUCAGUGUGGCAUACAAUAACUUAUCAGGCGAAAUUCCAGAAUGGACUGCACAAUUUGCAACCUUCAAUGAGAGUAGCUAUGAGGGAAAUACUUUUCUUUGUGGAUUGCCAUUGCCCAUUUGCAGAUCACCAGCAACUAUGUCGGAGGCUUCAAUUGGCAAUGAACGAGAUGAUAAUUUAAUUGACAUGAACAGUUUCUUUAUCACAUUUACAACAUCGUACGUAAUUGUGAUAUUCGCAACUGUUAUUAUUUUAUAUGUAAAUUCUUAUUGGCGACGUAGAUGGUUUUACUUUGUUGAAAUGUGGAUAACUUCAUCUUACUAUUUUGUUGUAGACAAUCUUAUUCCAACAAGAUUUUGUCAUUGAAAUUAAUUAGUAGCUUAAUUACGAUUCUUUAAGUACUAAUCAAGUUUGCUUAGGAAAUAUUUUUUUAUUAAAAUUGUAGUAGUAUUUAGCAUUAUAUAGCUUCCAACUUCCAAGCACUUCACAUUUGUCUCUACACUUAAAAAACUGAGUAAUCAUGUUUUGCAGAUCUGUCCACCAUAACUUAUAGCUUCCCUAUACUGUGCAGCAUACUUAAAUAAGAGAACCAUCUCCAAUGUUAAAAGCAUUCACUCUAUAACAUUCAUUUAGAAACUAUAUUCAGAAUAAUUUUAUAAUUAAACACGAGAAAUGAAACACAUAGAUACACUUGAUCGCCUAUUUUACUCUAAAAAAGAACGAUUAUUGUGCUAUCAUCAUCUUCUUCACUAGCAACAUUAACACCAAAUCGAUGGACCCAUACAUUUCAUCAAGAAAGGUAUAUAUCCAAUAAAGUUGAAGCCUAACAAAAAAUUCAAGAAGAUUAAUGCCUCGCCACAACAAGGGGCACAACAACAUCAAAGUAGAGAUUAAGCAGUAUUCUCAAAGCUAAAACUCUCAAAUCCACCCACCAGAAUUUCAUAUCUCCUCAACAAUUUUAAGAACUAAAGAUAAUUAGGAUUUAACAUUAGUUUUUUAUAUAUUAGUUUCAUAAUUUACAAAUCAAUGAAGAUGAAGAUUAUGCUAAUAAAUUCAAAUUAUACCAUACAUUCUCUAGAUGUUACCAAAAAUUUCUAAGUCAAUCCCACAUAUUUCAUAAUUUUAAGACUAGAAAAUUUCACUAGUUAGAAGUUUCAUUACCUUCAAGUGGAAGAUAAAGAACAUUAUACAAGUGAUUCAGAUUAUAUCAUACAUACUCCAAAUGCAACUAGAAAUUAACAAGUUCAUGCGCACAUAUUUCAUAACAUUAUGAUUGAAAAGUUUCACAAAGAGAAAUUCUAAAUUCAAUCUCUUGCAUGAAGGCAGUUUGAUUGAUUUGAGUUACUUUCUUAUCAAGCUACUAAUAUAACAUUCAAGUCAGGGAGAAAAUAAAUUAAAACUGGGAAGAAAUAAUAGUAAAAAUUUGUUGCUCAACAUGAUGUGUAUUUUUUUUCAAGGCAAUUUGGAAACACAAUUGUUACUACAGAUAUUCUUCUCAACUUGGAGAUAAAUACAAAUAUUAAAAUGCAUAUGAUCGCACAUAUUACUUCGAGUUUAGUAAGAUUUCAUUAAAAGAAGCAAUCAAACCACUUAUCAAUUGUCGCAGUCGUUCUAUAAACUAAAAUAGCAAUAUAAUACAAGAAAAAGAACAUAUAGAUACUUGGCAAGAGUUCAUUAAGAAGUCGCAUCACAUUCGGGUGAGGAGUUUGCUUCUGAUAUCUUGCUAGCUGGGGCUUUUUCUUGUCUUUCUACGUAUGCCGAGGGAAACCAACCAGCUUGGCCCUUGCAUUCACCUUCCGACCAUCCAAUAGGAGCCACCUUGAGAAGUUAUAACUAAAACGGUGAAUUAAACAAAAGUUGACCGUUCAAAGACCUAAGGGGAAAACUAAUUCUUUUACGUAGGAGGAGUGAAUUAGUUGUGAUCACUGAAAUAACAGCAUAACUAUGGAAGCAUAACAAGAUAUAAAUUCACACGUCUAUAAGGAUAAACUGGGUGGUUCAGAACUGAGCUAGCAACCCUACUAUAUUCUGAUUUGCACUUCAAUGUAAAAGGGAAUAUAUGGUAGGAAGAAAGAAAACCAACCAUCAUUUGUUAACUCAUUGCUUUUCAAUCAAAAUUUUAAGAACAAAAUGCCAUGUGCUUUGAACAUCAAAUAAGUAUAAGCAUUAGUUCUAAAUUCCACAUAUCAUAAGUUGUUAGAAGGAUAAGUUAAUAGCAGAGUAGAAAAAUCUAUGUGUUGGUAUUUAGAGGGGAAAGUACCUGGCGAAUCACAACAUAAUCAUCAAUUGAAAGACUUAGCUCUCCAUUUGCUUGAGCAUCAAAUGGAUGUAUAACCUGCAAGAUAAUGGGAUAAAUAGAACUUAAAAAAAGCAUAACAAAAGCAGCAACAGUAGCAGCAACGUUCAUUGUAACCACUAUGAUCAUGGCCAACAAAGAUAUAUUAGAAACAAAAUUCCAUUUUUACUACGACAUUAAUAUGUACUAUACAAAUUCUAAUAAGUUCUGUAUAACUUUAUGUAGUUAUUUAAAUUAUGGAUCAGAUUUUAAAUUUGAAAUUUUGACUGCUCUCCACAAAACAUGGCCUAUGCACAAGAAAGUCAUAGAUAAUGAGGAUUACAAGUGUCCGGCAUCUUUUGAGUGAUGGAUUUAACAUGAGAGCUUAUGGUCAGUCAAUUUCCUCUGCCUAGCAAUAUAAGCUUUCUCGGCCAGAUUUAUCAUCAAAUACAUAGAUUGCCCCCAAGUCACAUCCAUAUAAACAUAGUUUUUCUAGGUAAACCAAGUAAGGAGUAUCAUAAUUCAGACAUAAUCAUAAAAAGGCCCAUCUAAAUUAAGAGAAAAUCUCAAAAAGAGGGAUGCUGAGCUAUCAGUCUUGUAUCUAUAAGCAAUAUCAAGACUUUACAUCACCUGCUACAUCGUGAGUGGCUACACAACUUUCAGUGGUUUGUCUUUCUUUGGCACGCCUAACUCAGCUUUGAUGUUAGUGAGAUAUUGAUAGUAGAGACACAUGAUACUUCUAGCUCAUGCAUUCUAUCUAACCCAUCCAACAACUAUCUCUUUUUUAAUUCAUUAGUGUUUGCUAAACCUCAUGCUUAAAAGUCCUAUUCUCCUUAGCACCACAGUUGGACACUUGUAGAGCAAUUUUAUUUGGGGGAAAAGAAUUUUCAAGGUGUUAACUAAUAAAUUUUAAAAAAUAAUUACAAUUUGUCCUACGAUCAUAUGACAAUUUAUCUGGGAUGAAAGGAUACAGAUAGACAUCUUCCACUUUCAAGACUAAUCACUACUUCCAUAGAUGUUGUGCAAUAAUACAAAUACUUGACCAGAUGGUAGUGAUGGUAGAAAAAAAUUUUAUUGCUCCAAAAUUAAAAUAAGAAUGCAAUAUGUUAAGCAAAAGGCUGUGCAACAUCAAAUUAAUUGAUAAGUUUGUAAUUCAGUAAAUUAACAACUUUCGUGGUAAAAUACAACAAAUUUCUUUUGAAAAAAAUAAAAAAAAUAAAUCUUAAAAGACAGCAUUCAAUUUUGUGCGCAUCUUAUUUCUUAAGAUUUUUCAGGAGGAGGGCAAUAGAGGGACUUUCACCUAUGCAAGAGAGCAGAAGCCUUACUUUCCCUAUAAAGUAGACGUCAUUCUGAUUAAUAUGCGUUUGCAAAUCAGCUCCGUUUGAAUCAGUAUUCUGAUAGACACACGAGCCAUUUACAUCCAUUUCCAAAGUCACAUGUUGCGAGGAGGACUCAUUUGAUUGCUCCUAUACGAUCAUCUAAUUCAAGUAGCAAGGGUUGGAAGAGAAUAAAAAGUCACAAUUAUUCUUUUGCAUAAGUGAGACGAAAAUGAUAAAUGCAAUAUUAUCAGCAGUAAACAAGAAGAGAACGCUCCAAGAAAUAGAUAGAUGCAGACAAGCAAGUUAAAAUGCAUAGUCCCAAACCUCCGCAUACAACUUCUCUAAAAUAGCAAUAACGUGUUGAUGCUAUGUUUUCUCAGCAUCUACCUGCAAAGGCCCGAGACCAGGAAAACAACAAUAAAACCACUAGCUGAAGGAGAAAGCAAAGAAAGAAAUACACUUGACAUAAAUCUUGACAAGAAGCACAAUUUAAGACAUAACAAACCCCAAUCAUAUUGUUUAGAACUACCAUUCGUUAUUUCGUUAUUGUAACAUUUCGAACAAGUGUUGACUUAAUUCAACAUUGUUGGAAAGAUGGGCUUUUAGAAGCAGAAGAAAGCCUCUCAAACCAAAGUGCUUGUCCUUGUAUUGAUCAAGGGAUGUAAACAUAUUACAUUUGCAGGAUGAGAUUUAAUCACUCCCCUGAUUUAUUUGGGUUGCAGUAAAACUAAGCGAGCAACUGUUUGACUUCCAAGCAACAGCUAAAUCAGCUAUUAAAAUUCAAAUAAAAUCAUAAUAGAAUAAUAACAGGCCAUCUUGCAUCAAAAAUUAAGUUUAAUUUGUGAAUUGUUUUCUAUAGACAUGUCAGUUUCUGCUAUUGAAAUGUUAAAAGCAUUGAAAAAUUAUUCAAUAAAUUAUGCAAGCAUUAAAAUAGAGGACAUAUUAAAAAGUUUCUAAUUACAAUGUUAAUAUUUCCUAUAUUCUAGCAUUUGCAUAUUUUAAUUUAUUUAAAAGCUACGUCGAUCAACUUUGGGCAUGAAGAUUUUAGCUUCUACGAGACUUGCUUGGAAUAUGCACAAGAGUGUUAAAAUAUGAUGCAUCCAACGAAAGACAAACCACGUGUAGUCUUUUAAUUAAGCCAAAGUAGCAGCUCAAACAAAUGACACUUGGACCAACAUGCAAUCAUGAAGUGGCCGGAAAAAGGACAAAUGCUACUUUGGCUUAAAUAAAAAAUAACAUGUGACUUGACUUUUGCUGGACAUGCAUCAUGUUAUUACAAGACAACAGAAAUCAGUAUGAUAGUACUAAAAGUUGACAAUAACAUGAAGAUAAGAGGCAGACUGUCAACACAUGCAUAGGCACACACAAGAAAGUAUUAACUUCUAUACCAUAGCAAAAAGUCUUUGAUAUGUCAUCUGUUGCUGCUGUGAUUCAACUGACAGCAUGGCAGCUGUUGCUUCUCUACCAAGAGCCAUUAUUGUAGAUUUAAGCUCCGUCUAUCUUGCUUCUGCAUUUCGAAGCUUCACAGCACUCUCUGCUGAUAUAUCAGAUUCCCUAAUCUUUGAUCGGCGCCUAAAUACUUCAGCUGCCUGGUGAAAAUAUUCAAUAUAAAUCUAACAUAAUUCUAAUCUUGCCUUAUACAUGCAUAUGUUACCUCAAAGCUUACCUGGGCUUCAACUUCAUGUCGAAGUUUGUCAUAACGAUGAGUCAGGUGUCGAGCAUCUUCCAAAGGUGUUCCGUUGAUUAACGCCCGUAGUGGCUCAGGUACCUACAUGUCCAAAAACCUGUAACAUAGUUAGAAAAAUGAAAAGAAAGAGCGAAACCUCAAUUAAAAAGUUCCUCCAACAUAAUCAUGGAAUUUGGGCCUACUUCAAGGAUAUAUAUAAGGAUAAUUUAUGCAAUUUUGGGUCUGAGGAUGAUUCAUAUUAGGUUAGUGUUCUUCUCUUCUGUAUUUAAGGUUAAAAUAGAAAUAAACCUAUGAAAAUAUCUAAAUUAGGGCUGUAAGACUUCCACAUGCAUCCUUCAGUCUCAUGGAUUUGAUUUUACUAUAGAUGCAAGUGUCUUUAAAGAAAAUGCUUGGAGUCAAUUGAGAGAACUCACGGCCAAAAACUUGUCACACGCUAGUCUUUGCUAGUGAUGUAAGAAGUCACAGGGUCUCUUCAACAUUUGAACCAAUAAAAUUAUUAAGUCAUGGAUGUCACUAGCAAUGAUUUUAAUAUAAAACAUUAAAUAUUUCAGAGUUGUAACUUUAAAAUGGAUUCUUUUAUUCAAUAUCAUAGAACUAAGUUUCCUUAUGAGAAGAUAAUAGUUUCGAUAAUAAUUUUACAUAUAAUUUUCUAUAUUUGAAUUAUUUUCUAGUUAGGGAUGAACUAACCUGAUCACGAAGAAUCCCGAGCAAAGUUUCCCUCUCAUUUUCCAUCAAAUCAUGUGAAGUGCCAAAUUGAAGAGCAGCUCUUGCAACGCAAGAAUUGUCACUUUGAUUCUCUGCUCCAUACUUGCAACAAUCUUCAGCCAACUUUCUCGCUACAAUAUUUGAAUACAAAAAUAUUGUACACAAGAACUAUAAAAAACUAAUGAAAAAUGCCAAGAUGGAGCAGAUGCUUCAAUACUGCCCGUACAAACCAUAAAAAACUAAUGAAAAAUAAAUAAAAUCAAGAAAUUUUACUAAUUAAAAGUCUAAAUAUAAUUUUGAAAAAAGAAAAGAAACGGACUUGCUGCUGCUUGGCGACUUGUUCUCGGAGCUUGAUUGCUUGUUUCUUGAUAGCUUCCAUACUGUUUCUUUCAAAAAGCGACGACGGCUCAGCUCAUGGAAGUGGAAAAAAAAAGUGUGAUCGAGAAAAAUGAAAAGGCGUGAAUAAUUUUUGACAAAAAGCGAAAAUCAAGGAAAGCCGGCUCUUUCCAGAAAAUAAAAAAAGAAAAAAGAAAAUCAUAAGUUUGAAAGGAGAAGAUGAUAGUGGAAGUAUGCAGUGUGGCUGCCAGGUACUUGGAUUGUAUUGUCGGGUAAGGUAAAAGUGGAGAAUUAUAAGUUUGAACAGAGCAUGUUGGACUUUUGUUGACCAAAUUCAAAAGCCCAAUGGGACGGUCCAGAAGCUUUUGAAUAGAAAAACUUGCUAGAAAGCAUCAGUUUAAAUCACUACUUAAACGCUUGCUUUAACUGCACCGCUUUGUACUGUUUUAUGUAUGUAGCGGUUGUGCGGUUGUAAUUCACGGCUGACGCUACGUGUUUGUUUGUACUGUUCUAUUCGGUGACAGAGUAUUAUUAGUUAGGCCAAAACUAUGUUGCAACAGUGGUACAAUAGCACUGUUGUUUUCAGUCAUUAGAUCUAUAGUUGUACAGUUGCAUUAACAAGAUCCAAUGGUUGAAAACAACAGUGGUACCGAACUACUGUUGCAACAUAGCUGGACCCUAUUAGUUAUUUCAAAGGGAUAAAUAAGAUUGGUUACAACAAACCUACUAAUUUUAUAAAAUUCAAGUAAUAUAGAAUAAAAUAAAAAAAUAAAUACAAAAUUGACUUUUAUUUUUUAUGGUUGACUAUAUUUUGUGUUCUCUUCGGGCACUGCUACAAUUCUUCCCUAUAUAUCAAUUACACCACAUACUAUCGACACAAGAAAUGAAAUCUAAUAUCACCUAUUUAGUUAAAAAAUCACUCAUGAAAAAAUUUUACCAUUUUGAUUUGAGGAUCCAUAUUUUGAACUACAAGCUAAUGUUCAUCAAGAAUCACUGAUGGCCGUUGAGUAGAAAAAUUAUUUUUGGACAAAUUAUUUUUGUUGAUAGAAGAAUUUCUUUAGGGACUACUAAAUUAUUAAUAAAAAUAUCGAACACACCCAAAUAUCAUCGACACAAUUGAUUUUGAGGAUCCAUGCUUUGAACUGCCGCCUAAUGUUCAUCAAGAAUAGAGUAUGGCUUGUGAGUAUAAAAUUUUCUUAUUUUGGCCCGAAAUAAAAAAAAAUUAAAUUGGAUGAGAAUCUGCCACUUUCUCAUGAAGAAAGGCAUACGGAGCAUACCAUGGUACCAUACAAUAUAAGGAGCCUCCGUUCUUUGGUUUUUCAAACUCUGAAGGGGCCAAUAUUGCCAAAUUCCCCCUUGAAAAUUCUGAUUACGACAUUAUUCAUCGCUUGAUGCAAUCAAAGUAGUGACAAAGUAAUUGCUAGGCAAGGUUGCUGAGAGCAAAAUUGUCCUAAGCAUUAUAUGCAUACAUGGUGCGGUACAUAGAGCACGUUGAAUUCCCCACUAUAACACAAAUCCAGAAAGACAAGUAAUAACUCAACUGAUAUAAAGACAAAAAGAAGAUAAAAUGAUAUAGAACAAAGAAUUUCAAAGAGACAGCAACAUACGAUAGACUGAAGCCACUUGAUCUGCUCAUUGAUUGCAGCCUUAAACUUGCAAAUAGUUACUGUACGCUAGUGCUCUAAGAAGUGAAAAUGAUGCAAGCCCUGAUUCCCUUUUGACUUCCAUUUACUGUCAAACAUUCUAGUAAUACAAAAAAUUGUUUAGAUAUCUUGCUAUAAAUAUAGCCGUUUGACUGUCAUAAUAAAGUCACAAAUAACCAUUCAUAUUGAUCUACUAUCACACAGCAUGCUUUAUGCAUACAACAGCUGUAUGUAUACCAACUCCUAACCUUAUCAACACAUUUGGCAAAAACUUAGGAAGAAAACUAUUUCUCCAUCUCUUUUUUGAAAUUUCACAAUAACCAGCACAAUGUGAAAGCUAUGUUCUAACCUUAUGAUAAAUGCUCCAGACUCCAAAAGGAUUUUAUAUAUGAGAGUUUGUUGCAGCAGAUAUAUUGACUUAUCAAGUAUGAAUCAUUGUCUGGAUGAACUAUCUUUAGAUAAAAGAAUAUUAGAACCACUGUAGAAUAUCUUUACGCUGCUGGUUCUAACAGGAAUCUGCAUGUGGCAACAAUUGCUAGAUCCACAACUCCCCAACUUGAAAUACAUAGUUGCACACCAUGAGAUAGUGCUACAAUCUACUGAGAUCUAACUUAUAUGGUACUUUAAGCUACUAAUGUUUGCAUAUUUCUACAUGUUAAAUUAACACUAUUAUCUAUAAUCACUCCAAAACAACAAAUGAUAAGCAACUUUUGGCCACUUAUUACUAGCAUCCACAAUUAUAAAUAAGAGAUCAUGGGUUUACUUGUUGCACCUACUUAAUUAUCUGCAGUUGACAUCCUGACGCAAGGUUUAAAUAGUGACUGCUUAGAACCCUUGUAGUUGGAUCUUGACCUCUCCCAUUGUAGCCAAGAUUGGUUACUCUGGUAAUGAAUCAACACUCUCCUGCUCAGGGCCAUGAAGAUCUGAAAGCUCAGCACUAGUGGAGAACUUCAUCAAUCUCUUCUUCUCAGCAUACUUGAGACAAGGCUGCCUUACGAGACCAAUCACCAUAGCACCAACGCUUAAAACUGCAACUUUUAAAGAAGAAAGAGCCAACACAACACAACACAACACAAAUCAAUAUGGUUGGAGGAAUACACAUGAUAAUGGCUCCAACAGUGACAGUGGGUAUCUUGUAGGGACGAGAUGCAGCAGGAUAUUGCAUCCUUAACCAUACAAAUGCUAUGAACUCCAUAAUCAUUCCAAAACAGUACAGGAAGUUCUCUGCAGCUACAAUAUCUCAAAAGCUCAGCCAUGAUAGCAAAACCACACCGGAUGCUGAGAAUAUGAUUCCAAUCAAAGGAGUCCCAUAACAAGACCUCUUAGCAAAAAACUCAGGUAGCGUUCCACGCUCAGCCAUCCCCAAAAGUUGGAAAGAGUCGCUGCUCAUCUCAGCCACAAACAUGCCCAUAUUGGACAUUGCUGCAGCCCCCUGGAUGCACCAUCUCAACCAAACUCCUCCAAGCACUUUAGCGAUAUCUGAAAAGUAACCAUCGGUCCACAAGUCGCGAUCUAAUGGAAUAGCUCCAGUUCCAACUAGAAGGGGAAAGAAAUAUCCAAAAACGACCAAGAUCAAAGCAUAAAACAAAGCCUUUGGAAGAGUCUUCUUUGGGUUAUCCACCUCUCCAGCUAGUUUACUUAUUGAGUCCCAGUAGUUGGAGAUUCCAAAACAGGGUGUUCAAAUACAAAUUCCAGUCCACUUCACCUAAAUUUACUACAAGCCAUCUUGAAGGCUCUAACUUGGGAAGGGACACAAGUCCCAUAACCACAAAAGGAAGGAAUGAGAAAAUCUCUAAAAGAACAGCAGCCCAUCCCACAAUGGUUAGACCCCUAUAGUUCAUGAAAGUGAGAACAAAAGUCAAAGCUAACGCCGCAAAGGCUCUAGGUAACCCAUCGCCCAAAGCAGGGAUAUACCAGACUUCAAGUAGUCAAGAAACAGAACUGGGUAUAAAGCAUUAUCAAUAACCCCACUUAGCCAUUUCAUCCAAACUUGCUGAAAACCCCAAUAUGGGCCUAAGGCAGAUGAAACCCAAACCACAUAACCACAAUUUUCAGGAAACACGGUACCCAUCUCGGCAGUAAUUAAAGCUUCAGGGACACUCCAUAUAAUCGGAAACACCAAGAAACCAAGAAGUGCUAAAAGAGGACCAGCUGCCUUUACACUAUCCUCAACACCAAACGCCCCCCCAGAAACCUCAUAGAAUAUAAGGAAAAUAAGUGGCAAGAUUGAUACUUUUUUAGCGCCAUGGACUCUAGGAGAAGAUGGUUGGUCAUUGAUAUUAACAUAUUCAACAGCAUCAGACUGCCCCAUUUCUACUGAAAGUUGCCUAUUCACAGUGUUCCUCAAUUUCUGCAUCAAGUUUAAGCAUAACUAUCAAAAGGGUAUCGGCAUCUAAAUUAUGAAACAAAAUGAGCAUUUACUUAUUAAAAAAAUUCAAAAAAACAGAAAUGGAUUUCACAGAACACAUGAAUUUAAGUUCAACAUUAAACAGGCGCUUAAGAAAACAAAAGGGUCUGGUCGUAAAGCCAUCAGAUUGCAAGAUUGAACAACAUUAACGGAAUCAAUAGAAUCGAUGUAAAGAGAUCUGAAAAGAAAAUAAAAUAAAAGAUGAAGAGGGAUAAAACGACCCAUCAAAUAAGUGCAUGCAGAGCAGAGAGGCAGAUACUAGAGAAGCUCCGUCAUGUUAGAGAGAGCCUAAAUCAAUCAGAGCUCACUGAGUUUCUUUUCAACUGACCGGCAGAUUUGGAGUAGCAUAACAUAAUAUUUUUGCUUUUAAUUUUCGGAACACUUUUGAAUGGAAUUUUUUGUUUUUCAAAACUAACGAAAUCGUAAAAAUAAAUAAACACGUGUUUGGUUUUGGGCUUCUUCUUUUGUUCAUUUAAUAUCAUUUGGUUCCCUGAUUUUUGACUAAUUAUCAACGGUAUCCUGUUAGUUUCCAAAUUGAAAUAAUAUUAGGUCAUGAGAUUAUUUACUCCAUUUAGCAAUGUAGACUUAAUAGUGUAUUGAAAAAGCUUUGUCAAAUAGUAGUAAUAGGGGCAUAAGAAAUAAGUUCUUCAGAAUUUAGAUAAUAUACUUGGCUCUAGGAAGAUUCCCCUCUUAUCACUCAAGUUAGGCUUUUACCUUAGAGUUGAGUAAAUUAUUAAAAUAAAUUAUAGCUAUCACAAAUUCGUCAGGAGACUUUCAAUUUUUUUCCAUCAAAUGGCAAUGAGGCAAAAUUACCUCAACUUAUAUUUCAAAACUAAUACUUCAAAUUCUGACAAUAAAUUUGAUGACAGUCAAUUUUAUGUAUAGUAAUUUUGACUCUUUUGUUUGGUCUAAAAGUAAUUAUUUAAAAUGACAAUAUAACUUAUUUAGAAGAAAUGGUAAACUUAUAGUUCGUAAUAUUAUUUACACAAAUAAUAAAGACUAAUUUGAUAAUAAUCUUUCAAAUAAUAAUGAAGUGUUAAUUACUAUUUAACAUUUUUGAUUAAUUUCUAAAUUUAAAACAAAUAUGAAAGUUGAUUGCUUUGAAGGUUGGAUCGUGACAAAUUGACAAAUGAAAAGAGAAGUAGAGAAUAUAUAUUCUGAUGAAAGGGACAAGAUUCAGCAAGGGGACAAUAUUCUCUAUUGGACCGACAAAUGGGGGAAAAGAAUAUAUAUAUAUAUAUAAUUUCUUAUUUGUGGAUUGGCCAACACGUGUAACAAAUAUGAAAAGAUAAAAUUUGGCGUGGUUUUAACCGAUAUAAGACAAGAAGAACAAAGCAAAGCCCAUGAAAAUUCACCUUUCAUGUGGGUUGGAUCGGAUAAAAUCAAUAUCUUGAAUCAAACAAAAUGUUUGGUACAUAAAGUUUUUUUUUUUUACAUGAUAUUAGAUUUUUAUCCCUCGAAUUUUUACAUGAUAUUAGAUUUUUAACCCUCACUAAUAUUCGAGAGAUAUCUACUCCUCAUUUUUGGGUAAGGGAGAAGACUACCUUCACUCAAUUAUAAUUAAGGAAUGAAAUACCCCCACAUUACACUUGUAGGGGUUCAAACUGUUGCCCUCCAACUUGGAGUGCAGCAGCGCUGACCACUCGGCCAAAGUCCGAGUGGCUGGUACAUGAAGGUUUUGAGUGUGUGUAAUGAGCCAAAAUUUACAUAAGGAUAUUUUAGUAAAUAUAAGAAAAAAAGGCUCAGGGAAUGGCCUAUAGAUAGAAGCACGCAGCCCAUGAGUGAUGAGAAUACAAUUUAACUGUUCAAACUAAUUAGAAGCAAAUUCUUUCAUAUCUUUCUUUAAUUUUUCCGCUUAGUUCCUUAGCAUCCAAUCAAGUUCAAGUUAAAACACUGUUGAGACAACAAUAUGCAGGCAUCAAUAAGCAUAGUAGUUUUUUAUAUGUAUUCUAUACGACAAUUAUAGAACUUUUUGCAGCAACUUUUUUUCAUUAACUAAUGUUUGAAGAACUUGUUAAAAAAAAUGGUAAAUUUAUAAUUUUGAAAAAAAAGAAAGAAAGUGACGUUACCUCAUCGUCAUUAGAGACUUGUUGCAAUGAUAGCUCAAAAUUAAAAUUUUUGAAGAAUUAGUAGACGACGAUGAUGUAAUAUUUAUACAGUCACCAACAUGUUGAUUUUUGUUUAAUGUUUGAUCGAUAGAAACGCUUGUCGUCGUCGCUGUUGUUGAAUUCAUACAUAGAACACAGAAGAGAAGGAGGGAGGAAAGGGAAGAGAAGAAGAGAGAAGUGGCAUAUAGCAAAUAUGAUAUGCUAGCUGCAUACCAGCCUUAGAGAGAUUUUUUUUAAUAUUUAUUAUAUUUUUGUUUUUGUUAUUGGUUUGUCAUAUGCUUCCAGGGAAGCAAUACGUUACAUCAUAAAUUGCACCUUUUAGGGGAGGUGGUAAAAAACGUGAGAGCACUACGCUCCAGCGCAUACAUAUAGAAAGAGUUUUCGAAUUUUAAAAAGUUUCUUUAUUUCUUCCAUGUUUUUGUGCUUAAAAUAAAAUUUAAUUGUAUUUUGCAUUAACUUAGAAAAGAAAAGCCAGUUCUAUAUAUAAACUCAUGCAUUAAUUAGAAGAGUUGAACUAUUGGCACCCCUCUAUAAUCUUUAUAAAAUUCCUCUCCUAUUGUAAUUACAUUAAAGGACAAAAUAAAUCUAAUUAUAUCAUUAUAUUUCUCUUUUCAACUCUUUACACCCGUGCAACUACACCAAAGUCUUUUACAAUUUUUGUUUCCUCACAAACAACUUUUUCUUGAGAGAUUUACAAAACUUAUUUUUAAUUUUAAAAAAUAAAUAAUAGUUAUUUGAGUCCACUUUAAUUUACAAAACUUUCUAAUAAUAAGUUUUGUAGACUUAUUUUUCAUUUACAAAACUUUCUGAACUUAUUUUUAUUUUUAAAAAAUAAAUAAUAGCUAUUUGAGUCCACUUUAAUUCUACUUAAUUCAUACAUGUAUUUGAUUUUUUUGAGUAAAAUAUGUAUGAUUUAAUAAUUCAAAAAUUUAUAAAAACAAUAUUUGUAAUUGGAGUUAUUUGGAAGAAACUGAAUUGUUUUUCUUUUUGAAUAAAAAAAAGCUGAAAAAAGAAAAAGGAUAUUUUAGGAAUUAAAAUAGAUUUUGAUAGAAAAGGGGUUUGAACAGAAAAUUACAGGGUGCUAAUAGUCCCACUCUAAUUAAAAAAUGAGUUCAUGUGGAUGCAAAUGUACAAUAAAAGAGAUUCUCUUUUGUAUAUUGGAAGUAACAUAACUAGUGAGUAUAAUAUGUAAAUACAAGUUACCAAGAAUUUGCACUAGUGCUAAUUAAUGGCACAACUUUUGAGCUAUGAAUUUCUUCUUGAUAGUUUAAUUAUAUUUUUGAGUUUUCGGUAAACCUAUUUUAAUAAUUAUUAAAUUAUUUUCACUUCUUACGCCUUAAUAAAAAAAAAUCAAUAUUUUCUGGUCUAUUCUAUAUUUUGAAACUUAAUUUUUAAUUCUUUAUAUUGCAAACCAAACUAAGUCAAACAGAGUAUGCUCUUCAAAGAAUUUUUCCAUUGGCCAUUGCCUUCAAGAAGAUUUUAUUUUAUUUUUAUAUAUUAAUUUAACAUUUUUCCGUGCACUUGUAAACCGGGCCGUCGGAUUCCACAUAAAGCAAAUGAUCAAACCGUUACAAGACCGACCCGGACCCACUGACUCUCAUUUUCUUUCAUUUGACCAUUAAAAGCUUUUGACCACCCCCGCCAAAUAAAUAAAUAAGCUCUUGUUCUCUUUUGUUCCUUCUUAAAGGAAAAUAUAUCUGAUCACCAGAUAAUGAUUCCGGUGUCACAAAAUAUCAAGACAACCCCUAAAUUCCCUUAAAUUUACGAUAACACCCCACCAUGGAUGAUUCCGUUGAAAUGCCGCCUUACGAUGAAAGGCCUUAGAAGGGUUUUAACUUCACACCCAUGCGCUUGAUCUUAACCCUCAUUUUCCCAAUUUUAACUUUCUUUUCGUUGGCAUUUUUGAUCGAGAUCGUUACUGUUUUAUUCGGCGAAUCAUCAGUUUCGAGUUCCAUUUUUGUCCCUUCCCAGUGCAAGAUAGUGCCAGCAGUAAGCUUUUUUAAAAUUUUCAAUUUUUUUCCAUUUAUGAAGCUCAAAAAUUUUAUUAAUUUUUGAAUUUUUUUUGAAUGAUUUUGCAGGUGUUGAUAUAAGGUCAUCAAAGGUUUGUGAACUUGGAGUGUUGAAUUAUAAGGCGAAGCGUGUGUUUUAUCCAUUUGAAGCAAGUAAAUUUCGCCGUCGAUAUGAUUACUAUUGGGCUUCUAUCUUCAAGGUAUUCAUACAUUUUCUCAACUUUAAUUACUUACCUGUACUAUUAGCUUCUUAGUGGCGGUCUUGUUUUGUGUUUUUGAUGAAUGUGUUUAAGGGUCAGUUUGGGAAUGCUGGUAAUAGGAUGUUGUUAGUGUUUGGCAGUAAAUUUGCUAUGCAUAAUUCAGCAAUGUGCUUGAUUUUGGUUAUUGUCUUUAACAAUUUUUAGGUAGAGUACUUAGAUCAUUCACUGGGACAAACGCAGAGCUUGGUUGACCAAAGAUAAGUUCCAGGCUGGGGUCGGCAAUGCAGAGCUUCUGCGUGUAUUAAAAUUUGAAGCCUAGUAAAUGAAUUUCUAAUUUAUUUAUAGUGUUUGUUUUAUCUUGAUAGAAAUGAAUGCUAACUCAAGAUUUUCCCAACUUUGAUUACUUACCUGUACUAUAAGCUUCUUAGUGGCGGUCUUGUGAGCGGUGUGGCUGACAGCUUCUUGAAAAUUAUAAGUUUGAACAGAGCAUGCUAGACUUUUGUUGACCAAAUUCGAAAGCCAAAUGGCACAGCUCAGAACCUUUUGAAUUGAAUAACUUACUAGAAAGCUCCAAUUUUUUGUUGGCUACGGUAAAAGGAUGUUGUUUUAUUCUUCUUAUACUUUACGCUUGCAUCAGCUUAAAUCACUUCUUAAACGCUUUGCUUUAACUCCACCGCUUCAUACUGUUCUAUAUAUGUAUCGGGUAUGCGGUUGUAGUUCACUGCUGAGACUACGUGUUUGUUUGACGUGGUAAUUACGUUACGAGUCUGUUAAACAUUCGGUGAUUAAAGUAUUAUCAGUUAUUUCGAGGGGACAAAAAAGAUUAGUUACAACACACCCACUAGUUUUAUAAAAUUUGAAUAAGAUGGAAUAAAAUAAAAAAAUAAAUAAGUAAAUUGACUUUUAAUUUAGUGGUUGAAUAUAUUUUGUAUUCUCUCGGGGUACUGCUGUAAUUGUUCCUUAAAUGUCAGUCACACCCACAUGUUACAGACACAAGAAAUGGAAUCUAAGAUCACCUGUUUAAUUAAAGAAUCACUCAUGAAAAAAUUUUGCCAUUUUGAUUUGAGGAUCCACAUUUUGAACAACCAACUUAUCUUCAUCAAGAACAGAUCAUGGCCUGUGAGUAGAAAGAUUAUUUUUGGACAAAUUAUUUUUGUUAAUAGAAGAAUUUCUCAAGGGACUAUUAAAAUUACUAAUAAAAAUGUCAGACACACCCACGUACCAUCGACACAAUUGACUAUGAGGAUCCAUGUUUUGAACUGCCACUUAAUGUUCAUUAAGAACAGAGUAUGGCUUGUGAGAAGAAAAUUUUCUGAUUUUGGCCUGGAACAAAAAAAAAUUAAAUUGAAGGAGAAUCUGGUACUUUCUCAUUAAGAAAGGCAGACGGGGCAUACUAUGGUACCAUAAAAUACGAAAAGUCUCCAUUCUCUAGCUUUUUAAACUCUGAAGGGGGCAAUAUUCCCCAAUUACCCCGUGAAAAUUCUGAUUACGACAUUACUCAUCGGUUGAUACAUAAGUACAAGUACUGACAAAAUUAGGAAAAAUAUGACUCAUAAGUAAUUACUAGGCAGGGCUCUUGAGAGCAACAUUAUACUAGGCUUUAUAUGCAUACAUGGUGUGGUACAUAGAGCACGUUGAAUUCCACACUAUAACACAAACCCAGAAAGACAAGUAAUAUCUCAACUGAUAUAAAGACAAAAAGAAAAUAAAAUGAUAUAGAAAAAAGAAUUUCUAAGAGACAGCAACAUACAAUAGACUGAAGCCAGUUGAUCUGCUCAUUGAUUGCAGCCUUAAACUUGCAAAUGUUUACUGUAGCCUGGUGCUCUAAGAAGUGAAAAUGAUGCAAACCUUGAUUCCCUGUUUACUUCCAUUUACCAUCAAACAUUCUAUUCAUAAGAAAAAAAAUCUUUAGAUAUCUUGCCGUAAAUAUAGCCAUUUGAUUGUCUUAAUAAAGCCACACACAACCAUUCAUAUUGAUCCACAUUGCCACAUAGCCUGAUUUAAGCAUACAACAGCUGAAUGUAUACUGACUCCUAACCUUAUCAAUACAUUGGCGACAACUUAAGAAAAAAACUAUUUCUCCAUCUCUUUUUUGAAAUUUCACAAUAAAACAGCACAAUGUAAGAGCUGGAAUGAAAAUGGACCGUUUGGAACUAUGGCGGAAGCUUCAACUAGUGUAGUGAGUUGACCUUCUUAUUAACCUAGCGAGAUCAAACACUGCCCUUGAUCUUGAACAUAUCAAUACGAUACGCACAACUUAUGAUUGAAUCCAGAAACAAUCAAAUCUUUAGCAAGAAUAAUUAAUCAGAAUCAAGAAACAAGUUUAAUGAAUAUAAACCUAUAAUUGGAACAAACACAGCCAAAGAACCCAAGAAUGACACAACGAACACCAAGGGAGAAGCUUUCCAGUGAGAUUAUAUUAAUGAUCAAAGAAGAAUCUUUUUACAAAGAUAACAAAAGAGAUUUCAGAGAAUAAGCUAUGACCCUCUCUCUCUUCAAUCUCUGUCUAGUUUGUUAACAGUGAUGACCCCAAUCUGCUUCGUUAGCCAGCUUCAUAACUGCGUCAGUGACAAACUAGCAAACCCAGAUUGAGCAGACUAACGACACGUGCAUAACGGCUUUAACGAACUUGGUUAAAGAACUGCUCACAUGUUCGUCACGCGUGUUGCUUAAAUGAUAGCCAAAACGACUUCAACCAAAUGCCGUUUUGAAGCUUAUGAAUUAUAAGUGAAAACACGUGCUUGUCUCGUGACAUUUAAAUGCAACAACAAGCCCAAAACACUGCCGGUUCACUAUGUUGAGUUUGCCAUCUCUAAGCUUCACAACUAGCAGCGGACAAGAUGAUAAUUUAAUUGACAUGGAGAGCUUUUAUAUCACUUUUACAACAUUCUAUAUAAUUGUGAUAUUGGGAAUCGUCGGUGUUGUAUAUGUGAACCCUCGUUGGCGACACUGGUGGUUUUAUCUUUAUUGAAAUAUGGAUGACUUUUCGUUACUAUUUUGUUGUACAUAACAUUAUUCUCAGGAGAUUUAAUCAUUGAAAUUAACAUGUUAGUUUCAUUAGAAGGCUGAGUGGUUAGGGCUGCUACCCUCCAACUUGGAGGGCAAUAGUUUGAACCCACAAGCGCAGUGUGGGGGUAUUUCAUUCUUUAAUUACAUUGUAUAAUUGAAUAAAGAUAAUAUUCUCUCUUACCCAAGUGUGAGUGGAGUAGACAUCCUUCGAAUAUUAGCGAGGGUUAAAACUUGGGCAGAGCUCAAUAAGUAUUGAUGUAAGUUGGUCCUAAUAAUAGUCUGAUUUGUAAAUAUCAGUUAUAGUCUCAUGUUUCCUUCCUUAAUUAUAUUGUAUAAUUAAGUAAAUGUACUCUUUUCUCUUACCCAAGUGUGAGUGGAGUAAACAUCCCUCGAAUAUUAGUGAGGGUUAAAAUCUGGGUAGAGCUCCAUAAGUAUUGAUGUAAUUUGAUCCUAAUAAUAGUAUGAUUUGUAAAUAUCAGUUAUAUUAUCAUGUAAUAUGAGUUGUAAUUUGAGUAAUAAUUUCAUGUAAUUACAAAAAAAAUGUUACUUUCAUUACUUUUUUCUUCGUUAAAAUUCUCAAGUAUCAAUUAUGUUUGCUUAAGAAAUAAAAUUUCGUUAUGAAAAUUGUAGCAGUAUUUCCGAGCACCUCACAUUUUCAAUGAUUUUUCAUAAAUCAAUUAAUCUGCCAUACCAAUAUCAGGUUUAGUUUUUCAGACUAAAUGAUCAAGAAAGCAAACAUACAAAUUCACAUUUUAGAGGGGUAAACUAGCUUUUAGAUUUUAGAACUAGGCUAGCUACCUCACCAAAUUCCAAUCUGUACAGUGAACUACAAGAUUAAGAAAAUAAUGUAUUUAUAGUUUAAUUGAAUCAUGAGAAAACAAUGUAGUCAUAGCUCAAUCGGACAUGAUCACGGAGAGGCAUAUUCUUUUCAAGUUAAUUUGAUCCAUUUAUAAGAAAUGAAGUGGAUUGAAGUUAAAAGUUCAAAUAACAAAUCCUUGUUCUUGAGUUUUACGACGUCGUUACUCCUUCAAGAGGCUGAUUAUGCAAGUGAAUGCGGAAACAGAAUGCAUUAUCCACGGGGAUGAUAAAUCAAAAGGCGGGAUCAUAGUCUAUGCCCGCAGAUUAACAAUUUCACUCAUAUAGAAAAUUAAUUUUUUUAUAUAUACUAAUCAACACUAGAUUGAUUAUGUUUUGUAUGUUUAUAUGCUAAUCAACAAUAAAUUAUAUUAAAUGAAGAAAUGCUUCAAAUUUUUCUAAUUUAAUUUAGAAAAUCAAUUAUUAACAUUAAUAUUCCUAAUAAAAAUUAUUUUCCAUCGGUAUUCAAAAUUUUCACUUAUAGAAAAUGUGUUUUACGUGAAUACAAGUUAUUGUGUAAAUUUGAAUGAUAGCGAAAAAUAAUUUUUUUAAUUAUUGUAAAAAUAAUUAACCAUAACAAAUCCCUUGUGUAAAUAAUAAUCAUUAUUUAAAAGGUAGAAAGAUGGUUAGUGCACAAUCAAAUUUUAAGCCCCUACCUCCUCGGCCCAAGAUUCAAACUUAGAUGAUCAGCCAAAUAAAAUUAUUUGAAAAUCAUUCAAUCAGGUUCUCGGGGAAAAAAUACAAGAUCCGUAUUUGCAUGAUAUAUAUGAAUUAAUGUAAUUUAUUUGAAUUAUCCAAAUUCAUUAGAGAUAAAACUAUAAAAGAUACCAAAAAAGUUAGAAGGAAGGGUGUGCUGGGAUAUUUUACAAACUAUAGGAAUCUGGUGAGAUUUUGAGCCAAACUGUAGGGAGUUGAAGGCAUUUGCCCAAUAUGUUUAGACGUACACUAACCGUUAUUUGAUCUUGUUGUUGGUCAUGUGAACUAAGAUGUAAAUUAAAGAAAAAGUAUAAAAUUAAAAAAAGAUAAGAUUUCUAAAAUGUGUGGAAGGUGAUUCAUGAUUCACUAAAAUUACUUGCCCCACAUAUAAAGGUAAACAUGUCUAAUUUCAUUAAAAAUAGGUGGAAAAAAUUAACUAAUAGAAAGCUACGGAAAUUAACCCCCACAAAAAUGACUUUUUAUAGAAGAAUUUAUGUUUUUUAAAAUAUGUUAUCAAAGUGUAUUUGAUCAAAUCUCAAUUGCUUAGUAUGGUUAGGAUUUUGUGAACAUAACUAAAAAGUGAAAAAUAUGAAUGAUAGGGGUGAUGCUUGCAAUAUGAAUAAAUAAUGGACUGAUUCAAUUGAUGAUUAAAUUUAUAUAUUAUUGAUUAUUUAUGAAUUUUCAGACUUGUUAUGAUGUAUAACUAUGUGAUUUUGAAACUUGAAACCGUGGCAAACAUUGAAAGGAAUUAUAACUUGAAAUCAUGACUCACGGGGUAUGUCAUGAUUCACGUGCACAAAAAAGGUAGAAUUGUGGAAAUUUACAACCCAACGACAAGUACGGAAAGAAAGGAAGAAAAUUAAAAGACUUCGGGCCUAGCCUGCGUGUAUUAAUUAUUAGAUUACUUUUUUUUAUAAGGGUAAUCAUCAAUUUACUCCAUAACAAUCUUUAAUUCAUUUCUUAAAAAUAUCAAAACUUUAAUUUAUCUUUUAAACAUCGUUACCUCUCUAUUGGUUUUAACAGUUCAAAGGGUAAAAUUAUAUUUGCAUAUUUUCUUGACCGCCAACUAAAUGAUAAAACUCAAAAUUCAAUCUUGUUAUCUUGUUUCAAUCCUCUAUCAAUCAAAUAAGAUUUCUAAAAUAUGUGGAAGAUAUUGCAUGAUUUCCUCAACCUACCUGGCCCGAACAUCAAGGUAAAUAUCUCUAAAAUAGUUGAUUAAAUCUCAGUUGCUAAGUAUAGUUAGGAUUGUGUGAACAUCACUGAAAACUAUGAUUGAUAGAAGUGAUCUUUGCAAUAUGAAUAAAUAAUUAACUGAAUCAAUUGAUUUAUAUAUUAAAGUUUAUGAAUUUUCGGGCUUGUUGCGAUAUAAUAAUAGCAUAUGAUUUUGAAACUUGAAACAGUGGUAAAUAUUGAAAGGAAUUAAUUUGAAAGCAUGAUCCGUGGGGAAUGUGAUGAAUCGUGUUUACAAAAAAGGUAGAAUUGUGGAAAUUUAUAACAGAACGAUAAAUAUGGUAAAAAGGAAGAAAAUUGAAAGACUUGGGGCCUGGCCUGGGUGUAUUUUCUAACUAUCCAAUGGACAAAAUUAUAUUUCUAUACUUUCUCUUACCUAAGUUUCAUAGAAUAGCUCAUUUCAUUUUUAUUUUUUAAAUAAUAGCCCAAAAUAUCAUUAUGUUAACUCAUUAUUAGUUGAAUGGCGUUUGUUAGUAAUUCAUUAAGGGUAAAAAAUGAUUUUCUAUCAAAGAGAAAAUUAGAAAAAUAAAUAAAAAUUGAUAUAUAACUAAAAAUUAUUUUAUCUAAUCCCACUAAAUAAGAAAUGCCAAAAAAGAUGAAAAAAUUAUAUUUCAAGCAAUUCUUUUUUCACUUAUUUCUAUUUUGGCAACAUGAAAGCCCUAUAAACCCUAGAUCUAAGUACCAAAAAUAUCACAAUUUUCUUAUUCAUAUAAGUAUACUCUCUAAUUGCAUUGUAAAAUGGCUUGAAUUGAAUUGAAGAUAAAGAAGAUAUUCAGCACAUGCAAGCACAUAAAAAUUGGUGGCAUUUUUGAGUUUUUCUUCCAAUGAUUUAAAGAUAUUGUUUUAAUUACAGUUUGUUCCUUAUGACAAUUAUUCAAUGGCGAUAUCAAACUAUAUCAUCGUUGAUUUCAUUUAAGAAAAAAGUUAAUGAAUUUUGCAUACUUUGUAGUGUUAUUUAAUUGUGUAAAAAAAUUAUUUUAAUAUAGUUUGUAUCGCUUUAAUGAAAAAUCCUAUUUUGCCCUCAAUGAAUUACUGGUUAACGAUUUUACACUAAUGGUGAGUUAAUGGAAAGAUAUUUUAGGCUAUUGUUUGAAAAGUAGGGAUAAAAUGAGCUAUUGCAUUAAACUCUAAGGAUGAAAAAUGAUUUUUCCCUUUUAUUAUCAAUCAACUAUCUGAUAAAAGUCAAAACUCAUAUUUUUUUUUCCCUUGUUUCAAUCCCCUCUCAAUCAAAAAAGUUUCCUUGUCUAAGCAAUGAGGAAUAUGGCUAGAAAGAUUGUUAUUAGAAAGAUUUAUCAAUAGUAAUUAGUUCACAACUGAACAGUUUUAGAUUAUUGUGAGUCAAUAUAGGUCCUGUUUAGGAUUGAAGUGUUGCAGUUUUUAAGCUACAGCUGCUGUAGAAAAAAAAACUAUAAUUAUGAAAUAAGAGUUAAUAAUAUAUAAUAAAUAUAAAUUUUAAAUAAUAAUUUUGACAAAAUUAUUAAAAAUAUAAUAGAUUUUUCAUAAUACAAAUAAAAAAAUCAUAUCAACAUAGCUUGCAAGGUACAACAGUUAGUAUGAUGUUAGUUUAUUUUUGCGUCAAUAUAAGUAGUCAAAUUGAAUAAGUUAGUGAAAUGCUGCCUCACUGUCCCAUUGAAUAUGAUUCAGCUAACAGGGCUAGAGCUUGUGGAUGCCAAUGGCACUGAACAAAGUAUUGGGUGGUAAUUUUAAGACCACGCUAUGCCCAAAACCCAAGUUAGGCGAUUACAAAUACGGGAAUCAAUGUCACUUUGCUAGGAAUGGAGAGGAUAGAUUGCUUAGUGAAAUGCAACUUUGUAGAAUGCUGAGAGAUGUGCUGAGAGAUGAGGAUAGUUGUCGAUUUCUUCAUGUAAAUGCUGAGAGAUGUGCGGAAGUUUCUACUCAGUUUAGGCUUAGUUUAAGAAUAGCCUGGUGAUAAACAUUUUGAGUGGUGGAUCUUCUGUGGAUAACAAAAGUAGGUCUAUUCAAUGGGAACGCGACAAGGGGCUGGCUAACUCGCUCAGGUUGUGCAAAUGUUAAAAGCAGAAUGCCAGUUGUAUGAAGUUAUGUCAUUUUCUUUAUAGAACUAUGAAAGCUUGGAGUCCACGAUUCAAUGGAAUCUCGGGCUGUGCCAAUGAUUGUUUCAAGUACUUUUUCUACUUUCAAUGUCCAGACUAAGACUAUUUCUAAGCAGCAAGUGCAGGAUAUAAAGUGCAAAUCAAAAUAGACAGAAGUGAAGAGGAAGAUACGUGGUAUAUAUGUUGAUUGGAUUGAAGAUAUACCACUUUUGCCUAGUUCUUAGAACAAAGCAGAAAGCUGUAGUUAAAAAUAUACCUUCUGCUAAAGAUAAGUAGUCAAUAGUUCUAUUAGUGCAUAACUUUGCGAUUAAGGAUGAUCGCUGUCUAUUUUAAGAGCUUUUAAUAGAAUUUAGUAGCCCUGAUUUUCAAUCUCAGUGUUUUGCGGCUGUUAUCGACAUCCCUCUGUUACAUUUUUCAAGUUUCAUUGAUAAAUUAGUAGUUAGCCUUAUGAAGAAUGCACACACCAUAACCAUGUACGUUAAAUAGCAAACCUGCAUUUUAUUGAACUGUGAACUACUGAUUCAAUAAAGCUCAACAUAAGCUAACAAGUCUUUGUGAAAUUGCUUCAUGGUACAUUGUUUGAAGUAUUUAAGCUAAUAUAUGAUUAUUAAUGGGCUCGUGAGCCAACCCCAUUAAUUAUAUGUACAUAUAUAUAAUGUUACCAUCAAUAUGAUAUGUGACAUCCCAUAACAGCUAAUUAUAGAUCUUUAUCCAUUUUCAUAAUUUGCCUUCUGGCUUCCACUGCUCGUCACUAAAUUCAAAAUCCAUUGCACCUCAAAACAACAUGAGAAAUCUUAUAGGCAAAUCAUGACCAGUUCAAAGAUAAUAGCGAUUAUAGGGAAAGAAAAUUAAAAUCGAAGACGCAUAUAAAAUAAUCAAGCUACUGAUGAACAAAAUAACAUGAAAGUGUAAGUAUUUAUACUAACCUUCACUUAUUAGGAAGUUUGUUUCGCUAUUGGGUAAGAUCAAGCUCUCUGCAUAUCCUAUUGGCAAAAGGAAAUCACGCACGUGUGAUCUCUCUCUCUCUCUCUACACACGCACACAUAUACACACGCAUAUACAUAUACAUGCAUGGUCAUCAUCUUAGAAACCGAUUGAGAAAUUAUUGUCAGAGUUUGAAUUUGCGCAAUGACUAGUCAUGUUGCUAAAAAGAAAAAAGAUUGAGAUUGAAAGAAAUUCAUUAUCAUCAAAUUGGUCCAAUAUCCACUUCACUGUGUGGAUCAAAUACGUUUUCGAAUAGUGCACUGAUCUACAAUCUACUGCAAUAAUUUGUUAGGACCCUACAUCAACAAAUUAUGGGAUUAGUUGGUUUAUUAACCCUAAUACAUCCGGACAAGUCAAUCCUUUCAUGAGAAACAAAAUGAAUUUUGCAUCCCAUGAAACACAACAUACUCAGCUAGUUGAAAUUGUGGAUAUACGGGGGUAACGUAAGCAUGCUUUCACAAUUUGAAAGAUUUAUUUUUUAAGAUUUAGUAUUUCUGGGAUCCUAUUGAGAUAGAGGGGUGGUGAAGGUCUAUAGAUUUUAACUUGACAGCUUCCUAUAACCAAAGAUACAUAACUAUACUAAAUGAGCAUCAUUGAAUUUCAAAGUUAUUCAUUAUAAAUACUUAAAGAAAGAAAAAUAGAUAUUUUGGUAAUAGUAAUACAUUAUACCUUUUCUCUUUUCCAAAUUUGCUUAACCUUACUACAAGGCAAGCUGAGUCCAAUCAGGUUCUCCAAUUCAAAAUCUGAUGUCAGUAUUUUCAAAAGAUAUUUAUGCCAAUGGAGAUUUCUCAAUUCUAUAGGAAGGCAUUUUUUUUUUUUGAAACUGAUUAAGCAUCAGUUGGUUACUGUAUUACACAGAGAUAUAUACAACUGCUAUGACAGCAGGUCAUUACACUGAUAUUUACAAUCAGAUAUAUACAUGUGACUUAUAUUAUUACAUUUUUAUUCUAUGAAGUACAUGCCCAUCCAAAUACCCCUCACAGAGGAGGGAUGUCUCUACUCCACUCCCAUUGCGCAAGGGAGAAAGACGUUGUAAGAAGUCUCCAUACAAUUAUAUUUAAUUGAGGGAGGUUGAGUCCGUGGGGACUCGAACCAUUGCCCUCAUAGUCAUGCUUAACUUUGAGGGCAAUGAUUCACCACUGGGCUACAAGCCCAAGUGGCUAUAGGAAGGCAUUCUAAACCUCAGUGAAGUUACACCCUGGAGCUUAUAAUUAGAACACCAUCAUACUCGGAUAUAUAAAAUUUCAGCAAUCUAAAAUUUGACAUUGUUUUAAAUGCUCCAGAAUCUAAACGUAUGUCUCUUAUCCUGGAGAAUUCAAGAAUAUACUUUCGGUUGCAUGUGUCCCUUCAGAAAAGAAGCAAAUAAUGAGUUCGCAUAAAUUUUCUCAGGAAAAAAAUCCUAAAAUUUAUAAAGAGCUCCUUAAAUGAAGACAAAACCUGCACUCGCUCAACUCUUUUUUUUUUUUUUUAUGUUGUUCUAGUCUUCUUCAAUCCCCCCCUCUAAAACUUUAAUCCAAGCGUUAAGUGUAAGUAAACUAAAAUAUGAUUUUCGUAUGCAAGUACAACACAACAUACCCAUAAAAAUGAAGAGCGGAAGUUAGAAUCAAACCUCCAGCAAUUGAUAUUUUGCAAACUGAUAUUUGAUUCUUCUGAGACUUAUGUAAUCGUUUUGAUGGUGCAGUUUUUGAAUUAGAUUACAUAGCCUCAGGUACUAAUACCAUUUUCACCAUUUUGUUUUUAUUUCAUCUUUCCAUCAAAGAUGAAGGGGUGGGAAAUUAUCAAAGCAGCUGUUAGAUGACACCUGCUUCUAGACCUGCAAGUAAAACCAAAGAAUGAGCUCCAUUAGAUACAUUUGAGUUAAUAAAAUCCCUUGUUCCUCCUAAUGAUUAUAGACAUUAAUUAGGAGGGAGAAAUGAAGUAAAUUAAAUUAAAUGAAGGACCUUCAUUCUCCACGCAUGCAGCCGGCUAUUUUGUUACCAAGUUGUUGAAAGGAAGUAAAUAGAGAAGCAUUCAGAUACCACUCUCCCAGAUCGAUAUUCCUAGUAAGACCAAGGUGUAGUUGUACCACUCGGCCUGUGGAGUUGCUGCAGUCAACCCUUUCCCUUUGUUCAUCUACCCAGUUUUGAAGUCUAUAAGGGGAAUUGAAGAAAUGUUUAAGCCACAAAAGAUCAAAUUCCUCAUGCUCCAAACAUCCCUCACUCCACCCCCCCCACCCCCCGGCGCCCUCUUCUAAUAUUAUUAAUACGAGAACUAACAUUGUCACCAUUUUGAAUUUUGAACCACCCAUUCUAGCUAUAUCUCUAACUAUUAAAAAACACACAUUCUCUCUUUCUCUAUAACUAUAAAUAACAAAAGGGCUCUAUGUUAUUUAUAACAAACACAUCUAACAAUUUAUACACUCAGGCCCCAGCUAGCUUUCAGUUGUCUUCUUUGGUAGUCUUCAGCCUUCUCAAAGACUUUCGUCAUGCCUUACUUUCAGCCUUCCUUUCCAUAUUUGUCAUUUUGCUUUAAUUUUCCACAAUUCUACCUUGGAUGGUAAUAUUUAAUUCGCCACGAAUUGAGUGAAACGCUGGUCCGUUACCCAUCCCACUUCAAUAUUAACAAUAUUAAUAAUAAUAAAUAAAUUCUUCAAGCAAUUGAGAUUUGACACCCACCCCACUUCAAUAUUAAUAUUAAUGGGAAAUCAUAAAUUCUUCUACAAAUGAGUCAUUAUUUUAAAAUUGUUAUAAGCUUAUUUAUUUAAAAAAAAAAAAACGAGAAGGGGAACUUGUUAUCUUAAAAUUAAAAGAUUCUGGUGUGGCUACCCGAAUCCGCACGUUUUUUAAGAUUUUUUUUCCAAUCUUGUGUACCGUUCAACACCUAUAUAUGCUUUGCAAUUGAUUAGUUAACAAAAUAAAAUUCUUGAUCAGUUGUGCGGUAAAAAUAAUAUUAUUUUACAAAGCUUUACCUGGUGCAGUCAAUACGGCUAGAAAUUAAAGGAUCCCCAGCAUGAUAAUUAAGGAAUAAUUAUUAUUCUAGAUUUGUGCAGUGGCGAAGCUAAUAGCAUUUUUCGUUUUCGAGUGAGCUGAACUUUUUCCCCCCCCUAAUUCAAUACAUUUUUAUCGUACAAUAUAAUUUUGUAAAUAAGAAAUUAUAGAUGCACCUAAUAAUGCGCGACAAAAUAAGCUUUACCUCUCAAAAUAUUUGUUCUAAACAUUAUUUAAAAUAAUUUAGACACAUAUUUAUUCACAAAAUGAUGAACAGACAAGAAUUUGAUGAUAAUUGAAGAGGCAGCAUAACUAAUUAAUAUAAAAAUUUUUAUAUAGGUUUCAAUAAAGGAAAUUUUGUAACUAAAUAAUUUUUUUUCUGAGAAGCCCGGCCUUGCCCUCUCCAAAAUUCGCCACUGAAUUUGUGGGGUGGUUACUGGAGUUCACACGUUUUCAAAUUUUUUUUUCCCGAUCAUUCAAUAGUAAUUUUGCUUUUUAGUUUAUUAUUAUUGUUGUUAUUAUUAUUAACUCAGGCAUUUAUUAAAGCUCGAACACAUAAUCUAAACUUUGAUAUAUUUUUUGCUGAGAGGAGUCAAAAUUUGGGAAUUAUAUGCGCAUCAUAACAUAAUAAACAACCGCAAAGUAUCCUACGGAAACUUUCAGUGCACUCUGACAGCAGCUUUUGGUAGUCAAAUAGUCUUGGAAUCAUUUUUUAGCGCAUAUUCUUUUCGGUAAUGUGAUGAAUUCAUAUCUAAAGAAUCAAAACUAUGAUGUGAAUUUGCUGCAAAAACUGAUCCAAGACUAUUCAUUCAUUAUUAAACAUAUGAUAUCGUCCGUAAGACUGGAGAAAUAUGAAUGAAUUUGUUGAUGAUAACUCAGAAGACGGUUAACGGUUAAAUAUGCUAUGUUGAAAUGCACUGUACAGUCAAUUAAUUUAGUUAGGACUCUGUUUCUAGAAAACAGAGUAUAAAAGAUGACUAACUGUUUUGGGAGAUGCUUUUGGAGGGACUUCUAGAUGAAAUUGAGAGAGAGAGAGUGUGAGAGAAACUCUGUAAAGUCUUCUCCAAUUGGUAACCCCUUUUGUUGCGAAUAAUAAAGCUUCAAGGCUGUUCAUUUAUUUGUACAUAAGCAGGGGGAAAGCCUAUGUAUAGACAGCUUCAAAUGAGGAAACUGCACCUAACUACGCAGCAGCUGUAAUGAAGAAGACAUUGAUGCAUUAGCUUCCUGUUCCGUCUUCUUGGUCUUCGGGGAGGUUGGUAGCAGCAACUUUAAUUGUUCAAAGCAAACACUUAUCUUUCGUUUCUCAUAAAACCUCGUGAGGUAAUGCUUUAGAUGACUGGUAUGCAAUAUUGUCAAUGACAAAAUGUAAUGUUGUAUUCUGCUGAUCAACAUGUAAAAACUACAUAUUACUUGAAUUAGUUUUUUUUUUUUUUAAUUUACUAAAUUUCAGAAUUUGUUAACGAUGUUUGUACUUGGUUUUAACUCGAUUAAAGCUCAUGAAACUUAAUUGAUUAAUUAAUCAUUUAGUUAAAUUUAUUCGCUUUCAUGCUAUGGAUCUUUGCUAUAAUAACAAAUGCUUAAUUAUAUGCGUAUGUGUGAUAUAAUAGCUGCGUCUUACAUAGCAUAACACUACACCAAAUAUGCCCCCCUCAGAUACUAAUUAAUUACACAAAUGUACUUUUAUUCAAUUUAUUAUUUAAAAUAAUAUUUGAAAAAAAAUGGACUUGAGCAGAGCAAAGUAGAGAUAAUAAACAAGGGUAGAUUAUGCAUGCGUCAAAAGAUUUUAAAAAAGAAAAAGAGAAAAUAUACGGAAAACAAGAAAAUUGCGGGGAGCCACUCUUGUCUUUUACUUUGGACUUGAAGUCGUUCCAGGUGGAUAAUGUUUUCCUUUUAAAUAUUUAGAAUUAUAUUGUGGCGCUAUUUAAAAUAAGUUAUAAUUUUCUUAAAAUCAGACUAUGAUUACGGUACUCCAUGGUCAGAGUGUCGUUGAAUAAUGCUGAGUCUAUUGAGUCCUUUUCAAAUCGAAACCAGAACUAAAGAAAAAUCCAGAACUGAAACAAGGGCACGAACCAGCAAGAUUUGAAGGAAAAAUUUACUUCGUUAGUGAUCAACAACUAAUCAAACGUAAGUGGAUUUACAGAAGACUUUGUACAGAUCACAAUGAAACAGAUUCUAUGCAAAUUGACGAACAACUGAAGAAGAAAAAGGAUCGUACAACAGGCACUGCUCAUAAGCUUCUAUUUAUACUGAUGUUUCUGGAAACGUUGUAACAGAUUAUAACUAAUUCGUGCCACGUCAGCAUAAAAUAUCUACUAGACCCAUUUAACUGAAGUCAAUCUGCACAACGACUCUGAACCUCUUCAUAUUUUCCAUUUCAGUCCACAGACUCAACUACACACGUCUCCAAAAAUAAUAAGUUUUAUUUAUUUAUUUUUAUUAAUAAAAUAAAUUUUUAUUAACUUUCGUUGAUUUUGGUAGAUUUUGUUUUUGAGCUGUUACUACACUGUCGGCUGGUGUGUCAUCAUACGUAGUAGCGUCAUCAACCCUCUCAUGACUUUGACGGCCGAAACAUGUUUCAUGGCACAAAUAAUGACAGAUUUGUUUGAGGUACGGCGGAGAUGCCUAUUCAAAUAUUUGAAGCCAGCCCCUCCUUGUUUAACAUUUUUUUUUUUAAAAGGGGAACAACUGCUUUAGCUGUAUAUAUCAAGAAAAUUAGCUAACAGUUUAUGCACUUAAUUAUUUAUUUUGCCACACAUUUGUAAGUGGUCAAUGCUGCCGUAAAAUUAUUAGACCCAAAAUAAAGUGUGAUGAGGGACAGGAAUUAAUGUUCCCAUUAGCUGUAGCACCUAUCUUCCAUCUCUAAUUUUAACUUUCGAUUGAUGAAGUGUUUUCAAAUUUGUCAAAUGUCUGUAAACUGUUUAAUAAUUGAAGAAAGUUAAAAUUCAUUUUCUAAAAAUUAUUUUCAUUCAAAAUUGCGAUUGGAUGGUAAUCAGGGUUAAUAUCAGAGCUUAAGAUACUAUAACCGUGAGAACCUAUUGACUGCCAAUUAAAAUAUCCAUUAAAAUGUCUAGGGAGUUAUGAAGGUGGGGGUAACUUCCAAUUUCUAAGGCCACAGAGUAGACAUCAUCCAGGAUCCUAGGAAAGUCCAGUUAACCUCCUGCUCGAUGCAAUUAAUAAAUUUGGUCAAUGCCACUGAAACCUGCUAACUGACGUCACAAUGCGACAUGAGCACUUCAAAAUGGGACGGACAGUCAGUAGCACUGAAUUUUUCUUGCCUAAGAUUGAGCAAUUGGUCUAACUACUAAUCCCUAUUGUAGGUUGAUCAUUAUUUUUUCAAUUAUGUUCAGUUUGACCCAAAAAGUUGCAGAAUCUUGAGCUGAAUAUUGUCACGGAACACUGUCAAUGUCGCUUAGCAUAGCCAACAAACUUGAUGUUAAAACAAACACACAGUGUGUCUCAUGUCUCACAAAUCAAAUUAUCAUCUGUAAUGAUGGAGAAUUUUUCCAAUGUAUGAAGUAUGCUUUGAUACGUGGGUUACCUUGGAGAAGAUAUCUCAAAAUAAAGAAUAUGGGGAGAAAACAGUUCAGUAGUUUAUUAUUCUGUAGUCAAGUUUUGUCUCGAAAAUGGUCAAAAUUUAAAUGAUUAAGGACAGGGGAUCUUCAUUCUUUUUCCCCUUUUUUAUACCAAGAUAUCUCUCAACCUUUAUAUAAUCCCCACUGGAUAUCUGCUUCUCAUAAUUAAAAUAAAAAUUUCACCGCUCUAACAAUAAAAAGUAACAUCUUUAGUCAAAUAAUUUUGCGGUUCCUCAUCAUCUUAGUGUGAGACUAUCAGUACUUCCAAAAACAUAAUAAAACUGGUUUGAUCCUGUUUAUUAAUGUUUAAAUGUUGUUCAUUGUGACAUGUAGAAAUGAUGAGGCGAAGUUUAUUUGGGCAUCAAUUAGUAAGAUCUUGUUCGAAGUUGUUUUCUGAAAUGAACUGCCAAAUGGUAGUUUUUUGGGGGCAUUUGAUGGCUCUUUUUUUUUCCUCAUUUUCAACAUGUGCCUGCUUGGAACAGGAAGGAUUAGGCUUUAGAGUUGUUAUUUAUUUUGAGAUGCUCUGGUCAUUGCACAAUUUGUUCACACUGGAAAUUAGAAUGAGAAAUUUGUUGAUGCUGUUUUGAGAGAUCUGCAUUCUAUGCACAAUAACAUGAUUAAUGAAAAUGUAUUGUAGGACUGGAAAGAUCUGUGGCAGCCUGAGCUCGCAGGAAGAAUUUCAAUGGUUAAUUCUCCCCGAGAGGUUAUUGGUUCAGUUUUGAAGUAUAGGGGAGCAUCAUACAAUUCAAACGAUAUUGAUUCGCAAGUUGCUGGUGGGAAGAUUGCUGUUCAGCAGAAUCUGGCAUUACUGGCAAACCAGGUACUCUUACAGAAAUGAUAUCUGGUCAUUGCAUGUUAUUGCCUGACAACUGAUUUUGUUUGUAAAAGUCUACUUCUUCAUACAUAUGAAUGCAUAUGUUAGUGUUUUCUUCUCGUUUUCAUACAUAUAAAUGCAUAUGUUAGUGUUGUCUUUUCCUUUUCAUACAUAUUACUACAUAUGUUGGUGUUCUCUCCUGAGAUGGAUGCAAUAAAGGCUUUUGCUCCUAAAUUUAGCUGAAGAAAUGGCAAGGGAUGUGAGAUUCUGUCUCAUUAAAUUAACAAAAACCCAAAGCAAUGAAAAUCCAUAAUAAUGUGGUGUGGGUAAAUUGGCUCCAUUUGGUUCGUUUCCUUAAUGUGAAUGCGCGAGCAAUAGAGACUAACAAAAUGAAGUGACAACAAGAAGUCAGUGUCCUUUGAUGGAUGCAUUUUUAGGCAGAAAUAGGUUUGUAAUUGACCAAAUUUGUCUGGCAUGCCAAUUUCAAAAAAAUUAAAUUAUGUGGUUAUUAGCUGUAAUGAAGGGGGAUAGUAGGUGCAAUCAGGUGGAUCCUGGAAAGUUCAAUAAAGUUUUGGUAUGGCGUAGUGAAAUUGGUUUGUGCAACUCAGGAGUCUUUCAGGUGAACGAUGAUAGGUUUUGAUUUAUGAAUAUUAUAAAUCUACUGUGCAUAGUAUUCUAGUAGAAUCAUCUAUAAGUUCUAGUUAUUGAAAUUGUAUACUUUGCCCGGUUUGAGUUAAGGGCACAUGUAAUAUGAAAGAUAGUUGUCGCAUCUUUUAGGUUACCUAACAUUUGAUCAAUCCUAUUAUGGGGGCUUCAAGAUGUCUAACAAUAUGUAGAAUGCCCAUGCUCCUCCCCAUUGUUUAUCUUCUACAAUAAUUUGUUUUAGAUGCUAAUAUCUUUGUCGAUACCGGUAACAAUAUUACAAUAUCUGCGUUUAUUGGGUUUUACAUAGGUUCGACUGUUUGACAGUACACACUAUCUGAAGGCAUUUGCAAUUGGAGAUGUAUGGGUUGCUGUUGGGUGGAUUAGUGAUGUUCUUCCUGCUGUCAAACAUAUGUCUAAUGUUGCUGUUGUUGUUCCCAAGUCUGGUGCUAGCUGCCUGCCAUUCUACUUCGAUAUUCACAUUGUUAUCUCCUUCAUAUUAGCGAUCAGUAAACACGAUAAUGUGACUAAUAAGUUCGUAUUCUCUUUAUAGGCAAUCCCUGCUGCCUCAAGACUUGAAACAAAACAAAUUGGAGGGCGAGUCGGAGGUCCAUCUCCGUUAAUCCAUCAAUGGAUAGAAUUCUGCUUGCAAACAGCGAGAGCAUUACCUUUCAAGCAAGAGGUAAUCCCAGGUGCAUCUCCCUCUGCCCUUGAAAGUACUCUGGUUAAGUUGCCUGAAGAACUUCUGGAGGGUAAACCAAGUCUGGAUACUAACUUAAUUGCUGGAGUACUCCCGGCUGAAAUUCUG